This 840-nucleotide ribosomal RNA is filed under the name Leucosporidium sp. RNAcentral's name for it is "SSU rRNA". It matches the Rfam family "Eukaryotic small subunit ribosomal RNA", at positions 905 to 1766 of the family's 1831-position model. Lineage: Eukaryota; Fungi; Basidiomycota; Microbotryomycetes; Leucosporidiales; Leucosporidiaceae. The record is from RNAcentral.
UCAGAGGUGAAAUUCUUGGAUUGCCGGAAGACGAACUAUUGCGAAAGCAUUUGCCAAGGAUGUUUUCAUUGAUCAAGAACGAAGGAAGGGGGAUCGAAAACGAUCAGAUACCGUUGUAGUCUCUUCUGUAAACUAUGCCAAUUGGGGAUUAGCUCAGGAUUUUUAAUGACUGAGUUAGCACCCGAAGAGAAAUCUUUAAAUGAGGUUCGGGGGGGAGUAUGGUCGCAAGGCUGAAACUUAAAGGAAUUGACGGAAGGGCACCACCAGGUGUGGAGCCUGCGGCUUAAUUUGACUCAACACGGGGAAACUCACCAGGUCCAGACACAAUAAGGAUUGACAGAUUGAUAGCUCUUUCUUGAUCUUGUGGUUGGUGGUGCAUGGCCGUUCUUAGUUGGUGGAGUGAUUUGUCUGGUUAAUUCCGAUAACGAACGAGACCUUAACCUGCUAAAUAGACCAGCCGGCUUUGGCUGGCUGCUGUCUUCUUAGAGGGACUAUCAGCGUUUAGCUGAUGGAAGUUUGAGGCAAUAACAGGUCUGUGAUGCCCUUAGAUGUUCUGGGCCGCACGCGCGCUACACUGACAGAGCCAGCGAGUCUACCACCUUGGCCGGAAGGCCUGGGUAAUCUUGUGAAACUCUGUCGUGAUGGGGAUAGAACAUUGCAAUUAUUGUUCUUCAACGAGGAAUACCUAGUAAGCGUGAGUCAUCAGCUCGCGUUGAUUACGUCCCUGCCCUUUGUACACACCGCCCGUCGCUACUACCGAUUGAAUGGCUUAGUGAGGCCUCCAGAUUGGCUAUUGGGAUCUCGCGAGAGAACCUGACUGCUGAAAAGUUGUACGAACUU